Molecule: unclassified non-coding RNA, 551 nt
Filed under: Hevea brasiliensis (rubber tree)
Lineage: Eukaryota; Viridiplantae; Streptophyta; Magnoliopsida; Malpighiales; Euphorbiaceae
Source: RNAcentral
AACACUCUUUAAUCCUAACCUAUAGCUCUGUUGAUUCUCUUCUUCUUUUUCUCAGUUAUUAUAACUCAGAAAGAUUUUGGCAUUUAUCACCUCCCUUCUUUACUUUCUUUUCUUUUCAUUUUCUUUCUUUCUUUCUUUUUUCUCCAUUUCUUCAGAAUAUCAUGAUGAUUAUAUGUGUCCCAUUUUAUUUUCAUUCUAAAUAAAGGUUUUUUUGUUCCUUGGAGUGCUUGCUGUUGCAUCUAUGUCAGAAGAAUCAGUUGCUAGUCUAUAUGGAUCCUUUUUCUCCACUUAGCUACCCUACUUUCCAUUAGCUGUUGCAAGUCUUAAGCAUCAAGUAAACCAUAAAGAAAGAUUUAGAAAAGAGCAAUGUCUAUAUUUAAGUCUGGUUCGGGUGAGCAUUGGUUGCCGCCAGUGAAUGGGGAUACAUUAUGACAUUCAAACUUCAAUUUUUGCAGGUAAGAGUAGAGAUCCAGAAAGCCAAACUUGAGUUGUUGGUUGAACUUCAAAGACAGCCGACAGAGGAAGAGAUUAUAGAGAGGGUGGGGAUCUCU